This 614-nucleotide ribosomal RNA is filed under the name Salmonella enterica subsp. enterica serovar Enteritidis. RNAcentral's name for it is "partial 23S ribosomal RNA". It matches the Rfam family "Bacterial large subunit ribosomal RNA", at positions 1 to 590 of the family's 2925-position model. The record is from RNAcentral. Lineage: Bacteria; Pseudomonadati; Pseudomonadota; Gammaproteobacteria; Enterobacterales; Enterobacteriaceae.
GGGUUGUGAGGUUAAGCGACUAAGCGUACACGGUGGAUGCCCUGGCAGUCAGAGGCGAUGAAGGGCGUACUAAUCUGCGAUAAGCGCCGGUAAGGUGAUAUGAACCGUUAUAACCGGCGAUACCCGAAUGGGGAAACCCAGUGUGAUUCGUCACACUAUCAUUAACUGAAUCCAUAGGUUAAUGAGGCGAACCGGGGGAACUGAAACAUCUAAGUACCCCGAGGAAAAGAAAUCAACCGAGAUUCCCCCAGUAGCGGCGAGCGAACGGGGAGGAGCCCAGAGCCUGAAUCAGCAUGUGUGUUAGUGGAAGCGUCUGGAAAGGCGCGCGAUACAGGGUGACAGCCCCGUACACAAAAGCGCAUGUGCUGUGAGCUCGAUGAGUAGGGCGGGACACGUGGUAUCCUGUCUGAAUAUGGGGGGACCAUCCUCCAAGGCUAAAUACUCCUGACUGACCGAUAGUGAACCAGUACCGUGAGGGAAAGGCGAAAAGAACCCCGGCGAGGGGAGUGAAAAAGAACCUGAAACCGUGUACGUACAAGCAGUGGGAGCCCCACCACCAAAGCAUUUGCUGUACCGCGUUGACGGAGCGAAGCGACGUCAAACCGAUAAAACAG